UUGCAUGAAGGCAAGACGAGGGCUUAACUGUCUCUUACUUCCAAUCAGUGAAAUUGACCUACCCGUGAAGAGGCGGGUAUAAAUAAAUAAGACGAGAAGACCCUGUGGAGCUUUAAUUAAUUAUCCUACCUACUAAGACUAACAACCUACUGGAUCAACAAACAUAAAGAGCUAGGAGAAUAAUUUCGGUUGGGGUGACCUCGGAGCAUAAAAAAACCUCCGAAUGACUUAACUCUAGGCUUACCAGCCUAAAGAUGCCUAAGCAGUCAACAAUUGAUCCAAUAAUAAAAUUGAUCAACGGACCAAGUUACCCCAGGGAUAACAGCGCAAUCCUAUUUAAGAGUCCCUAUCGACAAUAGGGUUUACGACCUCGAUGUUGGAUCAGGACAUCCAAAUGGUGCAACCGCUAUUAAUGGUUCGUUUGUUCAACGAUUAAAGUCCUACGUGAUCUGAGUUCAGACCGGA
This 465-nucleotide ribosomal RNA is filed under the name Nannospalax montanoserbicus. RNAcentral's name for it is "partial large subunit ribosomal RNA". It matches the Rfam family "Bacterial large subunit ribosomal RNA", at positions 1988 to 2620 of the family's 2925-position model. The record is from RNAcentral. Lineage: Eukaryota; Metazoa; Chordata; Mammalia; Rodentia; Spalacidae.